RNAcentral lists this ribosomal RNA (404 nucleotides) under uncultured bacterium. RNAcentral's name for it is "bacterial SSU rRNA". It matches the Rfam family "Bacterial small subunit ribosomal RNA", at positions 28 to 425 of the family's 1533-position model. The record is from RNAcentral.
GAUGAACGCUAGCGGCAGGCUUAAUACAUGCAAGUCGAGGGGCAGCAGUCCCGCAGCAAUGCGGGAGCUGGCGACCGGCAAACGGGUGCGGAACACGUACAGAACCUUCCUUCGAGCGGGGAAUAGCCCAGAGAAAUUUGGAUUAAUACCCCAUAGCAUUACGAAGUGGCAUCACUUUGUAAUUAAAGAUUUAUCACUCGAAGAUGGCUGUGCGGCUGAUAGGUAGUUGGCGGAGUAACGGCCCACCAAGCCUUCGAUCAGUAACUGGUGUGAGAGCACGACCAGUCACACGGGCACUGAGACACGGGCCCGACUCCUACGGGAGGCAGCAGUAAGGAAUAUUGGUCAAUGGACGAAAGUCUGAACCAGCCAUGCCGCGUGGAGGAUGAAGGUCCUCUGGAUUG